RNAcentral lists this ribosomal RNA (256 nucleotides) under uncultured bacterium. RNAcentral describes it as "partial 16S ribosomal RNA". It matches the Rfam family "Bacterial small subunit ribosomal RNA", at positions 15 to 263 of the family's 1533-position model. The record is from RNAcentral.
GAUCCUGGCUCAGGAUGAACGCUAGCGACAGGCUUAACACAUGCAAGUCGAGGGGCAGCGAGGGAGUGGCAACACUUCUGUCGGCGACCGGCGCACGGGUGAGUAACGCGUAUGCAACCUGCCCUUCACAGGGGGGAUAACCGGGAGAAAUUCCGACUAAUACCGCAUACGUCCUCCGGGGGCAUCCCCGGGGGAUGAAAGAAUUAUCGGUGAAGGAUGGGCAUGCGUGAUAUUAGGUAGUUGGCGGGGCAACCGG